Molecule: ribosomal RNA, 418 nt
Filed under: uncultured bacterium
Lineage: Bacteria
Description: bacterial SSU rRNA
Rfam family: Bacterial small subunit ribosomal RNA
Source: RNAcentral
AACGAACGCUGGCGGCAUGCCUAACACAUGCAAGUCGAACGAGAUCCUUCGGGGUCUAGUGGCGCACGGGUGCGUAACGCGUGGGAAUCUGCCCAAAGGUACGGAAUAACUCUCCGAAAGGGGUGCUAAUACCGUAUGAGGUCGCAAGACCAAAGAUUUAUCGCCUUUGGAUGAGCCCGCGUUGGAUUAGCUAGUUGGUGGGGUAAAGGCCUACCAAGGCGACGAUCCAUAGCUGGCUGAGAGGAUGAUCAGCCACACUGGGACUGAGACACGGCCCAGACUCCUACGGGAGGCAGCAGUGGGGAAUAUUGGACAAUGGGCGAAAGCCUGAUCCAGCAAUGCCGCGUGAGUGAUGAAGGCCUUAGGGUUGUAAAGCUCUUUUAUGUGGGACGAAACCUCUUAUUCUUAAGAGACUGAC